UGCCAGCCGCCGCGGUAAUACGGAGGGAGCUAGCGUUGUUCGGAAUUACUGGGCGUAAAGCGCGCGUAGGCGGCUUUUUAAGUCAGAGGUGAAAUCCCGGGGCUCAACCCCGGAACUGCCUUUGAAACUGGAAAGCUAGAAUCUUGGAGAGGUCAGUGGAAUUCCGAGUGUAGAGGUGAAAUUCGUAGAUAUUCGGAAGAACACCAGUGGCGAAGGCGACUGACUGGACAAGUAUUGACGCUGAGGUGCGAAAGCGUGGGGAGCAAACAGGAUUAGAUA
This 279-nucleotide ribosomal RNA is filed under the name uncultured bacterium. Its description in RNAcentral is "partial 16S ribosomal RNA". It matches the Rfam family "Bacterial small subunit ribosomal RNA", at positions 506 to 784 of the family's 1533-position model. The record is from RNAcentral.